This 358-nucleotide unclassified non-coding RNA is filed under the name soil metagenome. Its description in RNAcentral is "partial contains 5.8S ribosomal RNA, internal transcribed spacer 2, and large subunit ribosomal RNA". The stretch from base 1 to 120 matches the Rfam family "5.8S ribosomal RNA", at positions 35 to 154 of the family's 154-position model. The record is from RNAcentral.
GAUGAAGAACGUAGCGAAAUGCGAUAAGUAAUGUGAAUUGCAGAAUUCAGUGAAUCAUCGAAUCUUUGAACGCACAUUGCGCCCGUCAGUAUUCUGGCGGGCAUGCCUGUUCGAGCGUCAUUACGCCCCUCAAGUCCCCUGUGGACUUGGUGUUGGGGAUCGGCGAGGCUGGUUUUCCAGCACAGCCGUCCCUUAAAUUAAUUGGCGGUCUCGCCGUGGCCCUCCUCUUCGCAGUAGUAAAACACUCGCAACAGGAGCCCGGCGCGGUCCACUGCCGUAAAACCCCCCAACUUUUUAUAGUUGACCUCGAAUCAGGUAGGACUACCCGCUGAACUUAAGCAUAUCAAUAAGCGGAGGA